GGAAAGAAAACCAAGCACACAGCUAACAUUUCAUCAGAGAAUGAAGAGGAGUAGACUGUGGAGAAGGUGCUAGACAGGCAUGUGGUUAAGUGGCAAGUGGAGUAUCUGCUGAAGUGGAAAGGCUUUUCUGAGGAGCACAAUACUUGGGAAUCUGAGAAAAACUUGGAUUGCCUUUAGCUCAUUUCUUAGUUUACAAAAAAGUUUAAGAUGAUGAAGGAGGGUUAAAAUAACAAGCCUGGGGAGAAGUCAAAAAGUAGCAAAGAAAUCCAAUUUCUCAAACUGUGCUGACAGUAUCAAGUCCAAAAAAGAGAACAGAGUGAUGAUAUUGCUUGGGGCUUCGAGAUAAGACUAGAACCAGAAAAGAUCAUUGGGGCAACAGAUUCCUGUGGCAAUUUAUGUUUUUAAUGAAAUGGAAAGACAGAUGAAGCAGACCUGGUUCUUGCAAAAGAAGCUAAUGUGAACUGUCUACAAAUUAUGACAGCAUUUUAUGAAGAGAGACUGAUGUUGCAUGCGUACCUUGAGGAUACAGAAACCAAAGAGGAAAAAACAGCAAAGGGCUAA
Molecule: long non-coding RNA, 561 nt
Filed under: Homo sapiens (human)
Lineage: Eukaryota; Metazoa; Chordata; Mammalia; Primates; Hominidae
Description: non-protein coding lnc-POU1F1-3:1
Source: RNAcentral